GCCCCCAACCUAUUGAUUUGGUUAUUGAUGAAUCUUUAUAAUGUUCUGUAGUGUAAAAAUGGCUAUACACUUGCAUUAGCUUUAGAUUACUCUGCCUGGAAAAAAGCUGUUCAUUAGUUCAAAAAAGUAAACAUCUUUGAUUUCAAGCUGUAUUUAAAGAUCCCUAUGUCAAACUCAUCAGAGCUUAUGUAAAUAUUCUCAAGGAAAGACUGAUUUAAUUCUUAAAAAAAAAAAAAAAAAUUGGAAUGACUUUUAGAUGCAUUUGGUAGAUCUGCCCUUCCUUGUUCUCAAGUUGUUUUAGAAUAUGGUUAGUUCAACAGGCUAAGUGCCUGGACAUGUCUGACAUACUUUUGAGACUAGGGCAACAUAUCUCACAAGUGAAAGGUCAUGCUCUUCAGUCUUCCUAAGGUUUUUAGAAGUAAGGAGAAAAGGCAUGCCUUUUCUCAAGUAGUAACCAUAUUUUAAAAAGCAAACAGAAAACCACCUCCCAGUCCAGGCUUUUACCAAUAUAACUUAAAAAUGGUAUCACGAAAGGAAUCCAUGCCACAACACAUUUUUAUUAGCCUUCUAUCUAUGCUCCGUAAUAACAAAGCCAGUUCCCUUCUCUGGAAGUACAAGGAAGGCAAACAAGGCCCGUUUUGUCCUAAGCAUACUCGUUAACUUUUCUGAUCACUCAAAAUCCUUGCUUCUGCCAAGCCCUGUGUUGCAUCUACUGUAUUAUUCCUCUGAUUGCUUAAGGGAUUGUGACAGGGACAAAUAAAGAGUAUCUGUUUCAGCUAGCCUUUUGUAUGGUCUUCCCUGAAAUCUUGACAGGCUUUAGCUGAACUGGAAAAAUGUGAUAGCUUACCCUGUGCUUCCGUCAGUAUGAUUAUAAAAGACUGACCAUCCAAAUAUGUUGCUUGUUUGGAUAUAUCUAAACCUUAGUAGGAAAAAAUAUGGUAGUCAUCAGUUUAGUUCUGCAUUUGUAUUUGCCAUUAAUUUAACCACCUUAAAAAAAUGAACACUUCAGUUAUCUGUUUGAAUUUGCAGGGAUUGAAACAUUAGCUGUCAUCACAGCAGGGUGGUAAUUCAAAUGCAUAUUGACAUUUAUGUUUCUACGUUAACUGCUUAGCUGCUGAUCUCAGCUCAUUCAGGAUAAUAAGACAUGAACUAUCCACGAUGCAUGACAGGUAAUCUUUGUGCUGUGAAUAGAGGGUGUUUUGGAGAGGACAGCAAUCUGUGCCUUUAAGUUAACUGGCUGCAAGUGAGAAGUCAGUUUUAAUACUCUGCAAAGCUCUUCACGCUUUAGGAAUUUGUGUCUGUAUCCCCACACAAGCUCAUUCCACAGCAGGUGGUUUUGUUCUCCAGUAGUAAGUUUGGUUCCAUUUUUGCCAAAGCAGCUGCUACAGUCUCUCCUAGAGACUGACAGAAAUAUUUGCCCAAAUCCCAUUAGUUUUUCUCCAAGAUAUCAAAGAUAUGGUAAAAGAUGAGAUCCUAUAUGUCAGGUGCCAGAACUCCAUCCCUGAGGAUGGACCUAAACCACAUAAGUGGGGAAGACUCAGCAAAGCAUGAGUGACUCAGCAAAGCAGGUCCUGAACAGAAGUGGACUCUUGGCUGGCACCUCAUUCACUGAACAAGAAUGGACAGAAUUUAUCCCUUGGGAGGAGCUGAUCAUUUCAAAUAUCUGAAGAGAACUGCUUUCUUCUCGUAUAAAUACGAAUUACGUUGAAUAGAAUUGUCACUGAUUGCGGAUUUGCAGCUGUUUAAGUACCCUCCUCUUCAUCUGGUUUUCAUGGAAGAGGAGGGGGAAAAAAGUAUUUCACUAGCCUCUGAAAUAGUCUUUACCAUAAAUGUAUCAUCUUGCUUUGCAACUGGUUUAAUCUUUCUGCUUCGGUACAGAAGUUAAUGAAAUGAAGGCAUAACUUCUAUAUUGGACAUACUCUCAUUAAGCAGGAUGACUUCAGAUUAUUCCACUUCUCCCAACUGAAACUAAUACAAAUAAUAGUUAUAGAGAAAUUCUUUGAAAGCAGAAUUUCUCUGUAAUUAUUUUAAAAGCAGCCACUUUGUAUACCACUUGCAUACUGCUUCAAGUAUUUUAACUGCCUGCUAGUACAAGAAUCAUCUGUGUUUGAUGCUGGAUAACUUUAAUAUAAUGUACAAAUGGACAAUACCCAUUUAAGUAGUCCUAUUACAAGCCAGGUUUGGUUUACAAGUCUGUACCAUAUUUCCCAUCACCUCACAUGCUUCUGUUUACAAAGGUAAUACAUUGCAGGCAAUACUUUUAUAAACCAUAAACUUAACAACUUUGUCAUAACAUGCUUUGCCUAUGUUGACUGUUAGUCAAAUGCAUUUUUUUCUGAACAGAGUGCAUUAGCACAGCCAAAUACAGCUAUGUAUAAAAAUACCUGUGCUGCUUUGACUACUAGAAACAAUAGCUAUUUCUAUCGCGUUACAUGGGGGAUAACUUAUUUUCAGGGUAGUGGACAUGUGCAGUGAAUAAAUGGUUUGGGGAUGGAGGA
Struthio camelus australis is the source of this 2498-nucleotide non-coding RNA. The record is from RefSeq and is a predicted model, not a curated record. Lineage: Eukaryota; Metazoa; Chordata; Aves; Struthioniformes; Struthionidae.